This 66-nucleotide transfer RNA is filed under the name Trogoderma variabile. RNAcentral's name for it is "tRNA-Ser". The record is from RNAcentral. Lineage: Eukaryota; Metazoa; Arthropoda; Insecta; Coleoptera; Dermestidae.
AGUUAAUGAACUUGUUAAGUAUAUGUUUUGAAAACAUAAUAAAGAAGUACAUCCUUCUAUUAACUU